Molecule: ribosomal RNA, 435 nt
Filed under: uncultured bacterium
Lineage: Bacteria
Description: bacterial SSU rRNA
Rfam family: Bacterial small subunit ribosomal RNA
Source: RNAcentral
AACGCGAAGAACCUUACCUAAGCUUGACAUCCUUUUGACCGAUGCCUAAUCGCAUCUUUCCCUUCGGGGACAGAAGUGACAGGUGGUGCAUGGUUGUCGUCAGCUCGUGUCGUGAGAUGUUGGGUUAAGUCCCGCAACGAGCGCAACCCUUGCCUUUAGUUGCCAGCAUUAAGUUGGGCACUCUAGAGGGACUGCCAGGGAUAACCUGGAGGAAGGUGGGGAUGACGUCAAAUCAUCAUGCCCCUUAUGCUUAGGGCUACACACGUGCUACAAUGGGUGGUACAGAGGGCAGCCAAGUCGUGAGGCGGAGCUAAUCCCUUAAAGCCAUUCUCAGUUCGGAUUGUAGGCUGAAACUCGCCUACAUGAAGCUGGAGUUACUAGUAAUCGCAGAUCACAAUGCUGCGGUGAAUGCGUUCCCGGGUCUUGUACACACCG